Molecule: long non-coding RNA, 206 nt
Filed under: Elaeis guineensis (African oil palm)
Lineage: Eukaryota; Viridiplantae; Streptophyta; Magnoliopsida; Arecales; Arecaceae
Description: long non-coding RNA (EGUI_LNC039608)
Source: RNAcentral
UUCAUUAUAAGAUAAAGAAAAGAGAAUCUCCUUCUGAUGGCUACAAUGAUAAAAGAGUAUUUAAUGAUGGGAUGACAGAAAAUUAUUUGCAUGGGUGAUUUAUUUUUACAGAUCACUGACGAUAUAGAUUCAGCCAUCGAAUCGUCAGAUUCUAUCAUUUGGCCAACAUUAAGAGCAAUAAUCUCGCAGCUAUUCGUCACACCCUA